GAUGAACGCUGGCGGCGUGCCUAAUACAUGCAAGUCGAGCGAACAGACGAGGAGCUUGCUCCUCUGACGUUAGCGGCGGACGGGUGAGUAACACGUGGAUAACCUACCUAUAAGACUGGGAUAACUUCGGGAAACCGGAGCUAAUACCGGAUAAUAUAUUGAACCGCAUGGUUCAAUAGUGAAAGACGGUUUUGCUGUCACUUAUAGAUGGAUCCGCGCCGCAUUAGCUGGUUGGUAAGGUAACGGCUUACCAAGGCAACGAUGCGUAGCCGACCUGAGAGCGUGAUCGGCCACACUGGAACUGAGACACGGUACAGACUCCUACGGGAGGCAGCAGUAGGGAAUCUUGCGCAAUGGGCGAAAGCCUGACGGAGCAACGCCGCGUGAGUGAUGAAGGUCUGCGGAUCGUAAAACUCUGUUAUUAGGGAAGAACAAAUGUGUAAGUAACUAUGCACGUCUUGACGGUACCUAAUCAGAAAGCCACGGCUAACUACGUG
RNAcentral lists this ribosomal RNA (497 nucleotides) under uncultured bacterium. RNAcentral describes it as "partial 16S ribosomal RNA". It matches the Rfam family "Bacterial small subunit ribosomal RNA", at positions 28 to 507 of the family's 1533-position model. The record is from RNAcentral.